UGACAGGUGGCUCAGAGGGUAAAGCGUCUGCCUGCAAUGCAGGAGACCUGGGUUCGAUCCCUGGGUCAG
This 69-nucleotide transfer RNA is filed under the name Bos taurus (domestic cattle). It matches the Rfam family "tRNA". Rfam says of the family: Transfer RNA (tRNA) molecules are approximately 80 nucleotides in length. Their secondary structure includes four short double-helical elements and three loops (D, anti-codon, and T loops). The record is from Rfam by way of RNAcentral. RNAcentral also lists the same sequence under 2 other names. Lineage: Eukaryota; Metazoa; Chordata; Mammalia; Artiodactyla; Bovidae.